Molecule: ribosomal RNA, 301 nt
Filed under: uncultured bacterium
Lineage: Bacteria
Description: partial 16S ribosomal RNA
Rfam family: Bacterial small subunit ribosomal RNA
Source: RNAcentral
CAGUAGCCGCGGUAAUACGUAGGGUGCGAGCGUUAAUCGGAAUUACUGGGCGUAAAGCGUGCGCAGGCGGUUGUGUAAGACAGGUGUGAAAUCCCCGGGCUUAACCUGGGAACUGCGCUUGUGACUGCACAGCUAGAGUAUGGCAGAGGGGGGUGGAAUUCCACGUGUAGCAGUGAAAUGCGUAGAGAUGUGGAGGAACACCGAUGGCGAAGGCAGCCCCCUGGGCCAAUACUGACGCUCAUGCACGAAAGCGUGGGGAGCAAAUGGGAUUAGAUACCCCGGUAGUCCCUGUCUCUUAUAC